Molecule: ribosomal RNA, 550 nt
Filed under: uncultured bacterium
Lineage: Bacteria
Description: partial 16S ribosomal RNA
Rfam family: Bacterial small subunit ribosomal RNA
Source: RNAcentral
UGGGGAAUUUUGGACAAUGGGGGAAACCCUGAUCCAGCCAUCCCGCGUGUGCGAUGAAGGCCUUCGGGUUGUAAAGCACUUUUGGCAGGAAAGAAACGUCGCGGGUUAAUACCCCGCGAAACUGACGGUACCUGCAGAAUAAGCACCGGCUAACUACGUGCCAGCAGCCGCGGUAAUACGUAGGGUGCAAGCGUUAAUCGGAAUUACUGGGCGUAAAGCGUGCGCAGGCGGUUCGGAAAGAAAGAUGUGAAAUCCCAGAGCUUAACUUUGGAACUGCAUUUUUAACUACCGGGCUAGAGUGUGUCAGAGGGAGGUGGAAUUCCGCGUGUAGCAGUGAAAUGCGUAGNUAUGCGGAGGAACACCGAUGGCGAAGGCAGCCUCCUGGGAUAACACUGACGCUCAUGCACGAAAAGCGUGGGGAGCAAACAGGAUUAGAUACCCUGGUAGUCCACGCCCUAAACGAUGUCAACUAGCUGUUGGGGCCUUCGGGGCCUUGGUAGCGCAGCUAACGCGUGAAGUUGACCGCCUGGGGGAGUACGGUCGCAAGAUU